GAACUAUCCUCUCUGUUGUAGAUCUGACCAAGAUUUGAUAUGUUGUUUGCGAUUUGGGUGGCUUCUGGAGAAGGAAGAUCCUGCAUUUCAUAGGCCUUGACUCCACGAGUUCUACAUUGUUGUAGUGGAAGGAGGCCAUGAUCACAGCCUGCUGGAGUAGUAUAGAUCCUAUGGAUAGAGUUGGUGCUACUAGGCAUCCCUAUAACGCAAGCAGGGAUGAAAUUAGAUUAAACUGGGCCACCUCUCGUCUAACAAUUGUUGCUUCUGGACACACUCAACCUCACAAAGAAAGGAAACAUAAUGAAUUAUCUGCGAGUAUCUCACCCUGUGCUCACCAUGGUGGCCUUGUCACAUAGUGCAGAUAACGCAGAUACUGUCUCUGGCUUAAUCCGAGGUUGAGAAGCGGAGCAGGUAAAGGAAGGCCUUGAGGGUUUGAGAUGUCGUGAUAGCUUGAAGAAGUGGCAGUUCACAGCUGCCAUUG
Non-coding RNA from Camelina sativa (false flax), 481 nucleotides. Lineage: Eukaryota; Viridiplantae; Streptophyta; Magnoliopsida; Brassicales; Brassicaceae. The record is from RefSeq and is a predicted model, not a curated record.